RNAcentral lists this ribosomal RNA (652 nucleotides) under uncultured Alphaproteobacteria bacterium. Its description in RNAcentral is "bacterial SSU rRNA". It matches the Rfam family "Bacterial small subunit ribosomal RNA", at positions 28 to 725 of the family's 1533-position model. The record is from RNAcentral. Lineage: Bacteria; Pseudomonadati; Pseudomonadota; Alphaproteobacteria.
AACGUACGCUGGCGGCACGCCUAACACAUGCAAGUCGAACGAAGUAGCAAUACUUAGUGGCAGACGGGUGAGUAACAUGUGGGUAUCUACCCUUUGGCCUGGAAUAACACGAGGAAACUUGUGCUAAUACCGGAUAAGUCUUUACGGAGAAAGCUUUAUGCACCAUUGGAGGAGCCCGCACUUGAUUAGUUUGUUGGUAGGGUAAUGGCCUACCAAGACUAUGAUCAAUAGCUGAUUUGAGAGGAUGAUCAGCCACAUUGGGACUGAGACACGGCCCAAACUCCUACGGGAGGCAGCAGUGGGGAAUCUUGCACAAUGGAGGAAACUCUGAUGCAGCGAUGCCGCGUGAGUGAAGAAGGCCCUUGGGUUGUAAAGCUCUUUCGUCGGGGAAGAAAAUGACUGUACCCGAAUAAGAAGGUCCGGCUAACUUCGUGCCAGCAGCCGCGGUAAUACGAAGGGACCUAGCGUAGUUCGGAAUUACUGGGCUUAAAGAGUUCGUAGGUGGUUGAAAAAGUUGGUGGUGAAAUCCCAGAGCUUAACUCUGGAACCGCCAUCAAAACUUUUCAGCUAGAGUAUGAUAGAGGAAAGCAGAAUUUCUAGUGUAGAGGUGAAAUUCGUAGAUAUUAGAAAGAAUACCAAUUGCGAAGGCAGC